CCCUGCCUUUUGUACACACCGCCCGUCGCUACUACCGAUUGAAUGGCUUAGUGAGGUCUCCGGAUUGGCUUCGGGGAGCCGGCAACGGCACUCUGUCGCUGAGAAGCUGAUCAAACUUGGUCAUUUAG
RNAcentral lists this ribosomal RNA (128 nucleotides) under uncultured eukaryote. RNAcentral describes it as "partial small subunit ribosomal RNA". It matches the Rfam family "Eukaryotic small subunit ribosomal RNA", at positions 1651 to 1776 of the family's 1831-position model. The record is from RNAcentral.